Molecule: transfer RNA, 61 nt
Filed under: Ishiharodelphax matsuyamensis
Lineage: Eukaryota; Metazoa; Arthropoda; Insecta; Hemiptera; Delphacidae
Description: tRNA-Arg
Source: RNAcentral
AGUAAAGAAGUAAAAAUACAAUUAAUUUCGACUUAAUAUAAGAGAUAAAAUCUCCAUACUU